AACGAACGCUGGCGGCGCGCUUAACACAUGCAAGUCGAACGAGAAGCUGUAGCAAUACAGUUGUACAGUGGCGAACGGGUGAGGAAUACAUGGGUAACCUACCCUCGAGUGGGGAAUAACCAGCCGAAAGGCUGGCUAAUACCGCGUACGCUUCCCAAUCUGCGGGUUGGGAAGGAAAGCUCUACCGUGGGUAGAGCGCUCAAGGACGGGCUCAUGUCCUAUCAGCUUGNGGUAGGGUAACGGCCUACCAAGGCAACGACGGGUAGCUGGUCUGAGAGGACGAUCAGCCACACUGGCACUGCGACACGGGCCAGACUCCUACGGGAGGCAGCAGUGAGGAAUAUUGCGCAAUGGGCGACAGCCUGACGCAGCGACGCCGCGUGGGGGA
RNAcentral lists this ribosomal RNA (388 nucleotides) under uncultured bacterium. RNAcentral's name for it is "bacterial SSU rRNA". It matches the Rfam family "Bacterial small subunit ribosomal RNA", at positions 29 to 408 of the family's 1533-position model. The record is from RNAcentral.